Cavia aperea (Brazilian guinea pig) is the source of this 116-nucleotide ribosomal RNA. The record is from Ensembl. Lineage: Eukaryota; Metazoa; Chordata; Mammalia; Rodentia; Caviidae.
AUCUACGGCCAUACCAGCCUAAACGCGCCCGAUUUCGUCUGAUCUCGGAAGCUAAGCAGGGUCGGGCCUGGUGAGUACUUGGAUGGGAGAAGUGUCCCUGGCAAAGCAGGAAGAUA